AAUAAACAGGAAAAAUAAUGAAGAAUGCCAAAUGAUGAUAAAACACACACAAACACGAUUUGAUUAUCACGCUGAGCACAAAAACUAAAAACGUCAACCCGUAAGUCAUGAAUCCUAAAGCCCCGAGUGAAGCUAUAGGAUUAAUUAAAACUACUACAUUUUAUUCAAAAUAAGCAUCACGGGUAAAUCCAGAAUCUCCCAAUUGUUGAGUGGUGCAUCUGGGGAGCAAGUCCACACGAAACUUGAGAUUUCAGAUCUAUCUUCAUCCUCCACGGCCGCUAUUUGGCCAAUGUUGACCCAUCCAGCACUACGAAAGCUCUCCUUGAUGCCACAAAUACGAAUCUUUCCCUCCCUGGGUUCCCGAUCAUUCCACACGAGCCAAACUGCACUCUUUCCUUUCUUCAAUCAACCUUUCCUUGUCCUCGUAUCAUACUUGCAUCAAACUACUGUAAAGCAAGUCUUGUAGAAUCUCUUCAAAUUCAACAUACUCAUUAAUAGAGUGCCCAACAUCUGGAUGGAGUGCACAUGCUAUACCCACAUCAUAAUCACCUUUUAAAAGCCCUACCUUCAAUAAUGCCUCAAAAAUAAACCUCCUGGAACUUUGGAUAUCACUCACAUCUCUUAUAACUCAUGCUCUUUCACCUCAACAACAUUCGUCGAGGCACUCCCAUGCCCGAAUAGUGGAUUAGCCUCAAUGCUAGGUUUAACUUCUUGAAACUUUAGCCACCCAGAGUCGAUUAGAGCCUGUACUUUAUGUUUGAAAGCCAAACACCUCUCAAUUGAGUGACCAACACCCCUCUCAUGAUAACUACACUUGGCAUCUGCCUCAU
This 830-nucleotide long non-coding RNA is filed under the name Vigna radiata. RNAcentral's name for it is "long non-coding RNA (VRAD_LNC002712)". The record is from RNAcentral. Lineage: Eukaryota; Viridiplantae; Streptophyta; Magnoliopsida; Fabales; Fabaceae.